CCUACGGGAGGCAGCAGUGGGGGAUAUUGCACAAUGGGGGGAACCCUGAUGCAGCGACGCCGCGUGGGUGAAGAAGCGCCUCGGCGCGUAAAGCCCUGUCAGCAGGGAAGAAAAUGACGGUACCUGAAGAAGAAGCCCCGGCUAACUACGUGCCAGCAGCCGCGGUAAUACGUAGGGGGCAAGCGUUAUCCGGAUUUACUGGGUGUAAAGGGGGCGCAGACGGCGAUGCAAGCCAGGAGUGAAAGCCCGGGGCCCAACCCGGGGACUGCGCGUGGAACUGGGUGGCUAGAGUGCAGGAGGGGCAGGCAGAAUUCCUGGUGUAGCGGUGAAAUGCGUAGAUAUCAGGAGGAACACCGGUGGCGAAGGCGGCCUGCUGGACUGCAACUGACGUUGAGGCCCGAAAGCGUGGGGAGCAAACAGGAUUAGAUACCCGUGUAGUC
This 440-nucleotide ribosomal RNA is filed under the name uncultured bacterium. Its description in RNAcentral is "partial 16S ribosomal RNA". It matches the Rfam family "Bacterial small subunit ribosomal RNA", at positions 338 to 795 of the family's 1533-position model. The record is from RNAcentral.